GUUCUAAUCAGAAUGUUCUAAUCUUUGUCUUUGUUUAACUACAACUAUCGAGACACUAUUUUACAAACUCAACAAUCACUAUUCAACCGCUACAGCUACUUGAAAUGGCACGGGCAAAUGCGUACCUGCAAAUGUCAAUAAUUCGAAUAUAUUUACUUGACAAAGUCAGUCUAAAACAGAAUGGACUCAACCCAAUAGCUACGCUAUAUGGACGUCCCCAUAUAAAAACAUUAACAAACUUUAAAUAGUUCAGAGAUCUGAAUAAUGUGGUUCUUUGGAAUAAUAAAAAUGAUUGUUGCAGUUAACAGGAGAAGAGGGCUCUGGAUAUGGACAAAAAGGAGGAUUUCACCUUCUCAAUCCAAAUUGAGAAUAGUGCUUAAUCUACUUGAAAUUACAACCUAGCACAAUGUGCUGAAACAGAUCAAGCUGGCCUAACAUUGCUGAAAGAUACAUCUGCCUAAAAAUGGCUUACUGGGAAAGGGUUCCCCCAGCUGGUGACAUGCAAUAUCUCACACAACAGAAAAGGGAAGACCAGUGGCUGGACAAUGAAAAAGCUGCCACUAGGUUCCAUACCUCCCGCUUACAAUACCCUGAAAUUUAUUUACGUAGAUAUGGUUUUCAACAGGCUCGGGAUCCACCUACGUAUGAAUAUACAAAAAUAUCUCAGAACACUUAUUGGCAGCAUAACUAUGGACCACUGAGAGGUCAUGCAUGCCCUAACGUAACAUUACAAUACAGUGGAGAGAUAAAAAGAAGUGUUAAUAAAGAACCCUACUUCCCAUCAAAUGAGUUUUCUACUCCAUCCAUUGUUGGGAGAGGACAUGAAGAUAUAUCCCAUCACAGCAAUGCUGACCGGUAUUAUGUUGGUUGGGAAAUGAAUAAAAAAACGUCCCAAUCCCUGGAAAACAUUCAGCGGAUGUUAAAUUCCAACCAUUCCAAUGGACAUGCUAGAGGACAUUUCAUGGAACAUUCUAACUCCUAUUAUAGGGGUGAGUCUACUGAAUGCUCAAGGGGAUUUUCUAAGGAUCAUUCCUAUGGAGGUUCUAGGAGACGUUCCUGUGGUUAUUUUAGGAGUAGUUCUAGGGGGGGGUCUAGGAAUACCAAGGAUGAGCCUAGUGGACGUUCUAGAGGUAGGCUUACAUUACCGGCUAAUCAUGUUAACACUUUGCCAAAUACAACCAAAAGAACUCUGGACAUUCAGAACACCAAAAAGUCUGCAACUGUUUCAGCGGGCAACAACAAACAUGGUGAUAUGGCAUCAGGACAAAUAACAUCUCCUGUGCAGUCUACCACCGCAACUGCACAACAAUGUAUUUCUAUGGAUCUUCCUGUCCCAGAAGCUACAGGAUCUUGUGUUGUUGACCUGAAAGUGGUUCAGGUAACAAAUGCGGACACCUAUGAUAUACCAGGACCCAGUUUCCCUUCCAAAGCCGUAAUGCUACAAACAGACACACUUCCUGGCAAUGCUGCUCAUCUUUCUCACACUCAGAGCUCUGCCACUCCUGAACAGCAACACACUUCCUGUUCUUCUCCUGAAUGUCUCCAAGCAACACCUCAGGGAAAUCCGCCCAAUAAAAAUAUCUCCUUAAAGAAAAUACAAGACUGGAUUAUGAGUCUCCAGACUGAAUCUGAAACAUGGCAAACGCUAAACAAGAUAACUUCUCAGGGGGUAUCGCCUUGUUGCCUAAGUGCUGAGGACUCCACUCUGCAGCUGGAGAUUAAGUCCACCCACAGAAGUAUGACUUUAACCGCAGUCACAGCCACCCCACCUCCUAUGGCUAUAGUCCCUCCAAUGGAUCCAACGCAGUCCCCGGAGCCCAUGGAGACAGGGGACGCAGACAAAGAGGUGCCAUUUCAAAUUUUACAGACCUGGUCCUUAAACGAACAAAAGGGAGACAGCCUGCAGGAGAGCACUAAAGAUGGUGUAAGUUUUCCAUCUGCCCUAAAUGAGAAAGUUGAGAGAGAGAUGCUGCAUCAUAAACCUAUAGAGACAUCAGCAACAAGUUCACUAACAUCUGCUAAAAAGGCUGUUGCAUUACUUCAUUGCAGAGAAGUCAUUGCAGAGAAGGCCAAUGAAAUCAAGACAAUUGAGGAAGUUGUCUGUAACGAUGGCAAUAAAAAAAAUCUUUAUUUGUCUACAAUUGAUGACAUUCAAGUCAAAUUACAUGCACUCCAGCAACUGGUUAAUGAUCUGGAAAAUGCACACAUUCCCAAAGAGCCAAAGGAGGGUUGUUUAGAGACCCUUUUGAAACGGUUUUGGGGCAAGGAUGUGGACACUUUAAAAGACCUAACUGAUGAGAAAAUCAUGCAGGAAGUAUCUGCAUGGGCCACAGAAGAUGAGAAUGCAGUGGUUCUUUUUGCGGUCAGUGGUCUCACACUGCAGGAAUUAGUUGAGAAGUUUCCCAUUGGUGCACCCAUUGACCGCUCUUUGCUAGUCGGUAACAAGUCUUCAUGGUUAAAAGUCAACAAGAAUCUGGAUGACAUUGACAAAGAAUCUGAAAGAUCUUGGUCUUUGUGCUUCAUACCAGAUCAAGCAGAGGAUAAUGCUAUUGCAAAAAUGGUUGAGGAAUAUUUAACUGAUGACUUCAGCAAGACGGACACUGUGAACUUGCCUCUACAACAAUCUGUUGACACAGACGUCAUAUUGAAUAGUGACCCCCCAAAUGACAAACUCAUAAUUGAUAUAGAGCCCCAAAAAGAUGUAGACUCUGCAACAGACACAGGCCUCUCAACAGAUGCAGACUCUAAAACAGACCACCUUUCAAAGAUUAUUUUGACUGUACUCACACCUGACGAUGCUGUGAAACUGUUUGCUGAAAUCAAUGUACCUGAUGUAGACCUCCCAACAGAUGAAGAUCUAAGAAUUCUCACAGACGUAACAAUCGACUGCAACACAGAAACACUUUCCCCAAUAAAUGUGACUGUCCUCGCACCUGACGAUGCUGUGAAACUGUUUUCUGACAUUGUGACCCCUGACACAGGCCUCCCAACAGAUGAAAAUCUCAGAACUCUCAUAGACACAACAAUAGACUCCAACACAGACACACUUUCACCAAUGAAUUUGACUGUCCUCACACCUGCUGAUGCUUUGAAACUGUUUAGCCAGAUUGAUAAAGGCUCUGUAGUCCAAAUGGGAUGGCCUGCACCAUGCUCUAAAAACCAAGAGAAGAUCCAGACAGAGCAAUCCCAGAAUAUUGGACGUGGUUGCUUUAAAAAAAUAUGCUACUGCCCCUGUAUAACUGAAACUGACAAUGGGUUUGAGAUGGGACUAUGUUUCAGUUGUCAGAAAGAGAAAAUAAAGACGGAACAAUGCCUUACCCUUUCUGGUACAUGUGGUAGUUCAGAUCAGGAGAUGGACGUGUCUGACUCAAUCCCCAGUUGCCUUCCCCCUAAUUCAUGUAGAGACAAGGUGCAAAGACAACCAACUGAAGAGGCUGAUGACAAGCAAUUCAGUGACCCUAACUUGGAGGAAAACAUAUUGCAAUGUACAGGUGUCAUAAAAAUCUCUGGAAUUCUAUUCUCAUCAGAUACAAAUGAGGAUUCAGAUCAGGAGACCAAGAAGAUUAAUUGUAAACUAUGCUCUGAGCAUGAAACAAAGCCUGCCAUAUGUGAGUUAUCUCAAGAACGUACUACCCAUAGCAAACCCAGUUCUGAGAAUAAGGAAAUACUUCAAGAGGAUGUCCAAGACUGUAUGUUGAGUACACUUUCUCUUCCCAAAGUCGUAAGCUCCUCUGAGUUGAAAGCUAACUUGGCACACAACUGGUGCUCACCUAUAGAAGACUGUGACUCACUUGCAGGGGACUAUAACACAAUUGCUGAUUCUGUCAACCAAUACAAAACUCACAAGGUCAACAAAAAGACUGAGAAGGAAAACCCCCUUCAUCCAGUUCCCACUGACAAACAAGAUCCUAACAUAGGCCAAAAUAAAGCCAAGGUGGAACCGCCACCAACUCCAUCCCCUAAGUGCUCUGGGGGGAAGAUGACUGUAGAUAGUCAACACCGACACAAAAAACUACAUUCACAAAAGAGCAGACAUUUCAGUGAGAGGAAUAGUGAUUACGAUCCAUGCCAAAAUAAGAAUAGGGAAUCACUGAUUGAGCAACAACACAAGGGCAGUCGAGACAAGGACCUAAUGAAAAAACAACAUUCUAAUGAGAGAGUGCACAAAGAACUUCAAAGUAGACACAAGAAGAGGCGACAAACUGAAAAUGUGUCCAGUCAAUCUAUGAUCAAGAAAUCCCGAAAGAGAGCUUCAACUGAAACUGAAGGAAGAUACUCUAGUAAUUCUAAAGAGUUACAGCCCCAGCCAGUGGAAGGUACAAAGAACAGCAGAAGUGAAAACUCAAUGUCAUGUCCUGGUGUGAAAAGUCUCCAUGUGCAUGGAUCGUCACCUUUCACAGCUUCUUUCAAAUGCCCCACAAAUGUCCCAGAAAUACUGAACUGCUUGCCAUCAAAACAUACAGAGGGAGUCCCCAAAUUGACGAAGGGUAAAGCCCCAAACAAAAUUCCCAGACACCAUUCCACUGAAAUGUCAUGGUCUCCUAAUCUGAAAGACAAACACAGAACACUUCAAGUCAAAUUGGAAAAGCUGUCUUUCCUCAAACCUAUUGCCAGAAAAGGUUCUCCACCAAACCAGGAAACAGUGGAAGGUUCCCCACCAGGCCAGAGGAGAGUGGAGAAGAAUAAAGGAGAGCCUGGAAUUUCUCUGGUAAAGGCCUUGAUGACCACUCAGUCCAUGGAUGGAAAUCUUGACCAAACCAAACUCAAAGGUAAGGCAGCAAGAGCCUUGAUAUCCCAGAAAUUGAAGUUGCCAAAAACUUCAAAGGCAUUUGUUAGAAAUGAGGAAGGCAGGUAUAAAACAAUCAAACGCCAGAACAACUCACUGGUCCCCAAGCCAAAGCUGCCAAGGAUUCCGAAACUUUCAAAGAUUGCAGAGAUCCGAAAAAAUGGGAAUGAAGAUGAGAAAAGACCAGAUACCUCUCCCGAUGCUUUUCCUGAACCACAGCUGUUGAAAAAAUCUGUAAGAGUGGCACACAAACCAAAAACUCUUAAGAAGCAUUUUGGCCAAAGUAUUCAUGCUUUUUCAAAUUUGGUAUCACUGCCACAUGGCAACACAUAUUUUGAGCCAAAGGUCUCUGCUAGGCAGCAGGUGUUCUCUGAUUGGGAGAGUAGCUUUGUUCCAACUCCACCCCCCCGGAUUCGCAGACGAUUAGGAUGUCUUUCAGAGGAAGUAGAAGGACCACAUGUGAUUCAGGAUACCAGAAUCAUCCGAUCCAUUCUGAAACAAGUUGAUGCUCAGCCUAAACCUAUGUUAAAAGUCACCUUUUCUUUGAACCCAAGGAAAGUUCACUUCUUCAAGCGCCUUGAUCACGAGAUGGAAGUCAUGUUCAACAGGUCUUGCACAGAUCCUGAUGAUAUAAAGCCUUCUGACAAAGAGGAUACGCAUGUGAACUGCAAGAAUAGAGCGGAGCAGCCUUGUGUUUGGGAAGAGAAAAUGCAAGAUCUAGAGGAGGGAAAGCCUGGACCAAGUGGUUCAUAUAAUAAGAUAUUCAAAAGAAAGCAUGAAAUGCCAGCUGAAGCUACCGUUUUGAUGAAAAAGAGCAUUGUUCAGGCCAAGAUUUUGACAAAGUGUAUCCAUCGUGAACCUCCAAAAGACCCUAGAAAGUCCGCAGAAAAAAAUGGAGUUGGAUACAAAUGGUCAAACAAACGUAAUUGGAGGGAAAAAUAAAUGGAAUAUUCCACUCCGAAUUAAAGUUCACCAGGUUUCUCUCAAAAUGUAAGUUCCCCGGUGGUCUACAUUAAUCCUCCAGCAAAUGGAAAAGAUUCAAGCGCAACAUCAAGCACCAUAGAUCUCCCAUGGAUAAACUGACCAAGCAGUGCUCAGGAGACUGAAGUGAUUUUGAAGGCAAACACUGCCCCCUGCCACGAUACAGCUUAAAUUCAAACCUGCCAUUUAAAAAAAACUUAAAAUACUGCAGACCAUGCCUGUAAAGUUUUUAAGGUCUUCCUCUAAUAGGUUUUGGUAGUUGUGAUUGAAAUAGAUGUUUUAUAUACUAUGUAUAUUGUACAUUUUUACUCAUAACCUCUGUGUGGUCACUGUAUGUUUACGGUGUUUACUGUUUUGGCAACAUUAGGGCAAUGCUGUGUUGUUGGCAGAAUACAGAAUUCUCACAGAGCACCAGCAAAAAAAUAAUGUUAAUGUUGUGCAUUUCACUUUUUUUGCAGUAUGUGGAUUUUCCUUUUUCUUUAUGCCAUGCACAUUGAUGUCUGAUGUUAGUGUUUUAUUACUGUCAAAUACAGAGGGUGAACAAAAUAAUGGGAACAACUAACAAUAUAUUAAUAUCAAGGACCUAAUAAGGAGUUCUUCAGAAAAGUGCCACUCAUUCUUUGAAUGCUGUGAUAUAAGUCCUGAACUCUGUGUAGUGGGAUAUUGCACCUUGCCAGCCUGGUGUUCAUAAAACAACACUUGUAUUCAUUUAGCAUUGUUUAUCAUCCUUAAAUAUUGGAACAUCAUGAGGAAACAGUGUUUGCACCAUAGAGUGCACCUGAUCCUGUAAAAUGCAACCACCAUGCAGAGCAAUCAUCAGACACAAUGGCUCCCACGAGAUCGCUGUCCAUGUCAUUACAGAUAACAGUUGGCAGCAGAUAUUGUGGUCUGAGGCGUUCUUUGGCGUCCUCCAAAUGUAAACCAAUCCAGGGGUAGGAAAUUGCGUAAAUACUGGCUCAUUAGACUAUUUCUUUACAUUACUCUGGGUCAGUCCAGCUUUUGUGGUCCUCGUACAAAGUUAUGCAUCUUUGUGUGCUGGCCUUGGAUACAAGCGGUUUCCGCAUUGCAACCCUGUCAUUAUGUUCAGCUUUGUGAUCGUUUUUGUUUAGACUGAGUCACAGAGAUGCUGAUUCAAAUCUGUUCAUUUUUGAGACCGUACUUUUAGGGCAUUUAGCAACUAUCCUGUUAAGUGUUUGUCUAUCUCUGUCGGACAGCUUUGAUAUAUGACCACUGUUCUUUGCUGAUACAAUUUGUUGCUGAAGUUUUGCAUAAGCUGAUUUUUGAGACUGUUCCCCUUGACUCAUAGAAUUAUAUUCCAUUGUUGUGACCAAUGCACCGGCACUAUUUGACCAUUUUGGAACUGUUAGUUGCUUUGAAAACUCAAAUAACAAACUAGGAAUUUGAGUCAGACCCCUUUAUAGCUGACACAUAUGUACUGCUAAUUUGACAAUCAACCUAAUCUGAACUCUGCAGCUGUGUAGGUAAUUGUGAUUUAGUUUCUUCAAAGAAAGUCAUUUUCCAUGUGGUGUUUCUUUUAUUUUUCCCACCCCCUCUAUGUUUAAGUAAUGUAUGUUUGAUUUGGUUUAACGCACUAGGUUCAUGGUUCUCUGACCAUAGUUAAUACUUUUUAUUGAUGCUGCUAUUGACUUUGAUAUUGAGGAAUACAUGUUCUUUUACAGGUGACUUAUUUUUAUAUACUAAUUUCUUAAACAUCAAUAUUUUUUAUACAAUGUGACAAGUUUAAGUUUUAUUGCUGUGUUUUUUUUGACUGAUGUUUGCUGUAUUUUUUACUUUAUUAAAAAACAGAAAAUAAGUGUUUUUACUUUUCACAUCACACAUCUUAGUGUAAUUUUAACAUCAACAUUGCUAUUUUUAACAGUUUUGCUUCCUCCACAACUGGUCCUUUGCUUCGUAAUACACAUGACUGUCCUAAUAGAUGGUUAGCCCAAUUUCAAAUUUCUUGUGUUGAGGAAAGUAGUUAUGAAAUUUGUUUGGCAACUGCCCAAUUAUAGUUAACGAAGAUCGGGGCAUUAAUUUCAGUGUCUGCCUAGUAAUAAUGACUUACAAGCGGUUCAUCAUCAUUGGUCAGAGCAGGUGACACUAGAACAACAUUUCAUGGUCGUGAAGUUAUGUUCCUGAUAACAAUAUAGAAACAUUGAGCUCAAGUAGAGUUACUGUGACUAAGGUGGAUGUCUAUUUAGAACUGAAUGAAGACAGUAUAAAAGAAAGCAAAAGUAUAUAGAGAAAACCGCCAAAUCCACACGUCAUUUGCAAACAAACUAUUUUUGUUGAACUUUGGUUAAAGAUCACUAGUGAAAGGAGCCAUUCAUUUGGCUCCUUAAUUUCCUUCAAAAGUGUUAAGUUCAAAAAGAUUAUUUGCAUAUAAGAUGAAGCCGUUUUAAUGAAAGAUUGUAUAUCUGCACUGAAGAAUAAAUAAAUUGUUGGGAGAGCGCAUCUUUGUGUUCCACAUGCACAACAGUGACAAAAAAGCAGCAGGCAACGUAAUAAAUAGGAUAGGUAAUAUGUAACCUAUUUGAACGUGUUUCACACAUAAUUCUAGGCCAUUUUGUCAUCUUUACAUUAGAGAUUUGCACUUAUUCAG
Molecule: long non-coding RNA, 8369 nt
Organism: Esox lucius (northern pike)
Lineage: Eukaryota; Metazoa; Chordata; Actinopteri; Esociformes; Esocidae
Source: Ensembl